This 404-nucleotide ribosomal RNA is filed under the name Actinomycetes bacterium. Its description in RNAcentral is "Actinobacteria bacterium partial 16S ribosomal RNA". It matches the Rfam family "Bacterial small subunit ribosomal RNA", at positions 355 to 776 of the family's 1533-position model. The record is from RNAcentral. Lineage: Bacteria; Bacillati; Actinomycetota; Actinomycetes.
UGGGGAAUAUUGGACAAUGGGCGCAAGCCUGAUCCAGCCAUGCCGCGUGAGUGAUGAAGGCCCUAGGGUUGUAAAGCUCUUUCACCGGUGAAGAUAAUGACGGUAACCGGAGAAGAAGCCCCGGCUAACUUCGUGCCAGCAGCCACGGUAAUACGAAGGGGGCUAGCGUUGUUCGGAUUUACUGGGCGUAAAGCGCACGUAGGCGGACUAUUAAGUCAGGGGUGAAAUCCCGGGGCUCAACCCCGGAACUGCCUUUGAUACUGGUAGUCUUGAGUUCGAGAGAGGUGAGUGGAAUUCCGAGUGUAGAGGUGAAAUUCGUAGAUAUUCGGGGGAACACCAGUGGCGAAGGCGGCUCACUGGCUCGAUACUGACGCUGAGGUGCGAAAGCGUGGGGAGCAAACAGG